GGGGGAUUGGCUCAGAUGGUAGAGCGCCCGCUUAGCAUGCGGGAGGUCCAGAGAUCGAUACUCUGAUCCUCCA
Mercurialis annua (annual mercury) is the source of this 73-nucleotide non-coding RNA. Lineage: Eukaryota; Viridiplantae; Streptophyta; Magnoliopsida; Malpighiales; Euphorbiaceae. The record is from the annotation of a RefSeq genome assembly.